RNAcentral lists this ribosomal RNA (253 nucleotides) under uncultured bacterium. Its description in RNAcentral is "partial 16S ribosomal RNA". It matches the Rfam family "Archaeal small subunit ribosomal RNA", at positions 474 to 727 of the family's 1478-position model. The record is from RNAcentral.
UACCAGCACCCCGAGUGGUCGGGACGAUUAUUGGGCCUAAAGCAUCCGUAGCCGGUUCUACAAGUCUUCCGUUAAAUCCACCUGCUCAACAGACGGGCUGCGGAGGAUACUAUAGAGCUAGGAGGCGGGAGAGGCAAGCGGUACUUAGUGGGUAGGGGUAAAAUCCGUUGAUCCAUUGAAGACCACCAGUGGCGAAGGCGGCUUGCCAGAACGCACUCGACGGUGAGGGAUGAAAGCUGGGGGAGCAAACCGG